This is a long non-coding RNA of Ictalurus punctatus (channel catfish), 2728 nucleotides long. Lineage: Eukaryota; Metazoa; Chordata; Actinopteri; Siluriformes; Ictaluridae. The record is from Ensembl.
GGAUAAUCACAUACAAAAGAGGUAAGCAUAAAAAAUCUUUUAAUUAAUAACUUCAGGAAUGAUUACUUCACAGUUCAUACACUGUGAGGGAACACAACACGUCAUCAUGUGGCUAUAAUGAGUAAUACGCGAAACGCAAAUCUACAGUGAUGCAAAUGACGUAUUUCCUGCUUAUGUACCAGGAAGAUACAGCCAAACUCAAUAUGGCGUCCACACGUGUAUCGGGACUUCUUUCCACUAAUGAGAAGGUAUGAUAUUUUAAGGAUUAGCACUGAUUCAAUUCACUGUGUUUGCAAAAAUAUAGGACAGUUAUGACACAAUCUUGCAAAAAAUUUUAGCGAAAUAGAUGAGCACAGACUUUCGAAAUUUUUUACCAUCUUAGUCACACACGCACAGACCCACACGUGUGGGUGUGUGUCUGUUGUGGUUUUCUGUGUACUGACCAAAUUAUUUUGAAUAUGAAACUUCCUCUUGCUUUACUGUAGUGUUCACUUUACAUGUUAAAAGGUCUUAUUUUAUCUUUGAAUACCAAGAUGUUUUUUUCGCCUCAGGAUCUAAUUCCGGUUAAUUUUCCACGUAAUGUAUAUAAAUUACACAUCCCUCACCUCCACAUUAUGGAACAAACUAAUGAGAAGUAAACAUACCAUCACACUAUAUUUUCAGAUUAGUUUUAGAUCUCUGCAAUCAUGUAACUUAAUGUAACACCAGUCAGGAUACCAGGGAAUUGCACAUUCUUGGGUUAAUCACAGUAAAUCACAGUUUGCAUAAUGGCUUAUGAUCACAGUACUGUUAAAAUUCUCAAAAUUGCUUGGUGUUCUGGCUACAAGGCAUCAUUUAAUGUCAGUAUUGUCAAAGUGCUGUGGUAAAAGGAAUAAAUCAGUUUGGGACUUUGGAAAAUAAUCAACUUCAGGGUGGUAACACAUCACACCAAACCAUCAUGUUUUAUUCCUUGCAUAUAUUACGUGUACUAAUCAUAGGUCAUGAAACAUGUCUAAAACCAUACAGAGAAAGUCAUUUCAUUUUAAUAUAACCAUAUGAAAACGUUACUAAUUCAGAUUGCAGAACUACAAUAUAAAUCUAUAACUCACUGAGCAACUAUUAGAGUCUGAAAUAUUUAAUUGUUGUGUUUGUCUCUCUCUGUAAAUAGCUAAAAAUAGCAUGUGUAUUAGCAUUACUGUCGAAAAGUCUUCGGCACCCAUUCACCCAUUUAUUCCAAUCAUUUAUUUUGCACAAAAAAAAGGUCCAUCACGUUAAAUGUUAUACCAUUAAAGAAAGGCAGAUGUUAAGUAAUAAAUCAACUGUACAGAAAUCCCAGUGUCUUUUGUGUGCUUUCUCUUUCAGAUUCCUGUACAAUGUAUGGAUGACCCCUUUGGGUUCAAAGCUGAGGUGAUUUAUGGAGAUGAGUCCAUUCCUCUGUAUCGGUGUACCCCAUUUCUCACCGUCCAUAGUAGGCAGCACAUGCCCACUGUCUACGGCAAUGAAAGCUCUGGUGCUGAAGUUGAGGAUACCCACAUCUUUGAAUCACUUCAUACAGCUGAAUCAAGACAUCAAAUGCAGGACAUGUCAAGUGCUGAUGACCGUAGACAACCUAAUGCCAGACCACGUCCUGUCUGGCCCGAGGACACUGAUGCUCACUACAGUCGCAAUCAUCUAACCUUUACUGAUGGUGGCUUUCCACUAACCAUGGCUAUGGGUGGAAUGGGAAACUACAAGCCUCAGCAGAUAGAGAGUCUUGUACUGCCGGAGGAGGAAGAAUGGGACAAGAAUCCAAGAACAAGGAUGAAAAAAGGGGGGAAAAGAGGAGGGAAAAAAUCCCGUAGAAAGCAACGGCAAUAUUGACGAAAUAUGGAAAAUGCACUUAAUGCACUUGUAUAAUGCAUUAAUACUUUAACUAGCUUUUUCUAUAGUGUAGACUAUGCUGUUCCUUUAUAGUCCAAACUUUAUAGUCCAGAGUCGUUUAUGUGCAUUUCUUCUGUGUCUUUUUUAUGUAUGUAAACUGCACAAAAUAGAGAUCAGAUGACGCAACAAACUGCAAACAAAAUUGACUUGAAAAAGACUGGUGUAGGUUCUCAUCUACCAGAAUAUACCUGUACUCCAGCAGAAGAAACCAGUACUGCCCUUCAUAGUGUGGUCCAGGGUGCUCAAUACUCUUAACCAUGUCUCUGGCAACGCCAUCCAUUUAACUCAAAUGUUUGUGUUUGGUGGAUGAGAAUAACUGUGCUAAAUGUACCUUUUCAAUCACACACAAGAUUCCAUUUGCUGAGCAAGUAUUAAACAAGGCUAGUGUAAUGAACAUGCAACAGAAAGGAGAUCAUUCUAGAAACUUCACUUAAAAAAAACCAAGGUAACCAAAAUUCUCAUUUCUCAAGAUACAGAGUCAACAGUUUCUAUUAAACUGUCAGAGUCAGUCAUUCCUAUAACAUUCUUAUUGUCAUUUCUUUGCAUACUUGUUCAUUUCAAGUUUAUGUUCAAGUGCUCCAUAGAUUUCAAUAGUGCAUUUGCUAGCGACAUUGCUGUAUUUGCAAUCUGUAUUGCUGACAUCUGUUACCUAAGCAAAUAAAACAACAGCACUUGACAACAAGGACUGAAUAAAACAAAAGAAAGGAUUCCCCCAAGGGGAAACACUGAGAAAAAGAUGACAAGGAUGUGUUAAAAAGAAUACUGAAACUCACCCAUUAGCCAUAACCAUAGUAGUUGAAGUCUUGUAGUUGCAUCUUGUGAUUUCCUG